UACGUAGGGGGCGAGCGUUGUCCGGAGUUACUGGGCGUAAAGGGCGUGCAGGCGGUGGUGCGCGUUUUGUGUGGCAGCGCAAGGCUUAACUUUGCGAGGAUACGAAAGACGGCAGCACUUGAGAGCGCGAGAGGGACACGGAAUUCCGGGUGGAGUGGUGAAAUGCGCAGAUAUCGGGAGGAACACCUAUGGCGAAGGCAGCUCGCUGGGACGUUACUGACGCUGAGACGCGAAAGCGUGGGGAGCAAACAGG
This 253-nucleotide ribosomal RNA is filed under the name uncultured bacterium. RNAcentral describes it as "partial 16S ribosomal RNA". It matches the Rfam family "Bacterial small subunit ribosomal RNA", at positions 524 to 776 of the family's 1533-position model. The record is from RNAcentral.